GGUGCAGGGCUGGGUGACAGCCUCUGGUUGGCCUUGGGGCAGGCCCUGGCCCCAGCACAGACACAGGGUGGUUUGGGGAUGCUUGGGGAGCAAUGGGAGGCAAAUGAGGGAUGGUGCUGGGCGGAGAGAUCAGCCUGUGCUUGUGUCAGUGCAGCUGUGCAGGGCGCUGGGAUCUGGGUAAAACUCCAGCUCUCCUGGUGUUCAGGGAUGCAAGGUCUGAGGGACUGGAUUUACCUAGGACUUUCCAGGAACAAGGAGAAAUGUGGUGCCAGAGCUGUGCCCCGUCAGAUUCUGUUUCCCUUUGGGGAUGGGGAGUCUCUGGGCUGAGGUGAGAUUGCUGUGUGAGUGGCAGGGAACAGGGAGCUGAGAAUUGCAGGCACUGAUGGAAUAGUUGUCUUAGGUCUGUUUGGUUUGUGUUGGUGAAAACUGGGAUGUGGGCUGGAGAGGUGCUCUUGGGAACAAUGGAUAGAGUACAUUUGCUCCAUGGAUGUGUAAGGAAGGACAGGGAAGGGGGGAGUAUUUAUAAACUGUUCUCAGUAUUUCACGCAACUUUGGGGUGGAGCAGCGAUGCGGGUGGGUGGGUUUGGCCUGGGCCUGUCAGGACUAACCACAAAGAAUCCAACCAAGCCCCUGACCCCUCAAGGCAUCUGUGAAACGCUUCCACAGCAACCCAAGUCAGAAAUCCAGUGAUUAUGGAGGUAAAAUUAUAGAUGCUGGGAUUGCCUCUGGGCACAUGUGCUGAGCUCUCCCUGCAGGGAACUGUCAGCCCUGAAUGCCUGUGCAAUAACUGCAGCUGCCCAGGCAGGCACAGGAAACUAUUCCACACAUGAAAUUGCCAUGACCCAAGGCCCUCCUGGAGAGAGUGUAGAGAGUUACAGCACUGAUCCUGCUCCCUGCUUUCCCAGUAGUGCAUGAACAUGAUUUCAUCCUGAUCCUGAGAGCGCCAAGGACAAUAACCACUGAGGUGCCACUGAUGAUGCCACUUUUCUGAUGGGCCUGGCCCAGAACCAUAGCCCAGCAGGGUUCUGUGGGAGCAGUUCAGUUCCCCCUCCCUUCCUGCACUCUGGGCAGUUCCAGGAGACACCUGAUCCCUUUCCUAGGCUGCCACCACAGCCUAAGCUCCCACCCCCACUGGGCCGUGAUGGCAUCAGCCCACCCAGAGCUAGCUGCCUGCUCCGGCCUUUGUGCUGCUGCUGCACAUCAGGCCCGGCCAGGGGAGCUGAAAUAAAGCCUGGAACUCUCAAGGGUAAACUGGCAGCACAACCACAACCCUCCCUCACUUGAGAGUAAAGAGGUGUCCCUGUAUUUACACACAUCCAGGAACAAUACUUCUCUAGAGGAGUCUUGGAUUUACUUUUUUUAUCAGUUGAACUGGCACAGCUGCCCCCUGCUGCCAUUAAAUUCUCCAUCCCCACAAUCCCUGGUUACCCUUGGCUGUGGGGUUUUUGCUGUCCCACAGUGAGUUAGGAGGGAUCUCUGGCCAGCCUCAUUGCCCAAGAGCAUUUGAAAUCCUAAUCCUCACUUCUCUGACUACUGAAUGUCUUAAAAGCCACUCUGCAUUGUGCAGACAAGCGCCUUGGUCCCACUGGGAACUGCACAUCUCUAACAGCUGUUAUCAGUUAUUCCAACUGAGUAAAAUAAUUAUUAAGGAAAAGAGGGACCAUUUAAACCAAACAACUUUUGCCUGAUGUUUUCCUCAGGAAGGAGUUGGGAGCUCAGCAGCAAGGCCAUCAGACAGGCACAGUGUCUGAUAUAAACUAUAUCUGUGCACACAUAAAAAAUAUGUUAUAUAUAAAUAGAUAGCUAUAUGCCCUAAUAUAUAAUACAUAUUUAUAUUCAUGAGUUAUGUAAGGCAUAAAUAUCUGCCCUAUAUAUAACCAAAAAUAUUUUUUAUCACAAACCUCCUAUAAUUUACCCCCUGACGCCUGAUGCUAGGGAUGUAACAUUUUAGGGAUCCUAAAAUCAAACAUAUGCAGGAAAAUAAACCAUGAUUUUAUGCCAUUAAUUCCAAGAUGUUUUCCUGGAUGUGUACUGCUGCAUCUGUUUUUCUGUAAGAUCUUGUGCCUUAUCCCUGAAGUGCACUCAGAAUUGUCAGGAUCAUGAAAUCCAUUUGGGAUUUUACUGUUGCUGCAGUAUCCAGUGAGAUGAGUUUUUUCAAAAUUAUUUCUCUGGGACCGAGCACAUCUCCUCAAGUUCCUUCUCACUUUCUGCAUCCUGGAAAUGCAAAAAGGGAAAAGAUCAAUGUGCAGCUCAACUGAAACAAAUAAAAAGCAUCAUUUCCCUUC
Corvus hawaiiensis (hawaiian crow) is the source of this 2285-nucleotide long non-coding RNA. RefSeq lists it as uncharacterized. The record is from RefSeq and is a predicted model, not a curated record. The transcript is spliced from 2 exons. NCBI's taxonomy places the organism in Eukaryota, Metazoa, Chordata, Aves, Passeriformes, Corvidae.